CCGGGCACGUCAGGAGAGCGCUCUCCCCGAGGGAGCCACCGAAGGCGCAGGCCCAUGAUUUGAAGGUGUGGCCGAACGCUCAGGUACCCAGGACUGACGGCACGUC
This 106-nucleotide non-coding RNA is filed under the name Ramlibacter tataouinensis. RNAcentral describes it as "Glycine sequence". It matches the Rfam family "Glycine riboswitch aptamer". Rfam says of the family: This family represents the bacterial glycine riboswitch. RNAcentral also lists the same sequence under 1 other name. The record is from RNAcentral. Lineage: Bacteria; Pseudomonadati; Pseudomonadota; Betaproteobacteria; Burkholderiales; Comamonadaceae.